RNAcentral lists this ribosomal RNA (253 nucleotides) under uncultured bacterium. RNAcentral describes it as "partial 16S ribosomal RNA". It matches the Rfam family "Bacterial small subunit ribosomal RNA", at positions 524 to 776 of the family's 1533-position model. The record is from RNAcentral.
UACGUAGGCAGCGAGCGUUGUUCGGAAUUACUGGGCGUAAAGAGUGUGUAGGCGGUGCUCUAAGUUCGGUGUGAAAUCUCCUGGCUUAACUGGGAGGGUGCGCCGAAAACUGGAGUGCUCGAGCGUGGGAGAGGAAAGCGGAAUUCCUGGUGUAGCGGUGAAAUGCGUAGAUAUCAGGAGGAACACCGAUGGCGAAGGCAGGUCUCUGGGCCACUACUGACGCUGAGAAGCGAAAGCGUGGGGAGCGAACAGG